AGCAUGUGGUUUAAUUCGAAGCAACGCGAAGAACCUUACCAGGUCUUGACAUCCCGAUGCUAUUUCUAGAGAUAGAAAGUUACUUCGGUACAUCGGUGACAGGUGGUGCAUGGUUGUCGUCAGCUCGUGUCGUGAGAUGUUGGGUUAAGUCCCGCAACGAGCGCAACCCCUAUUGUUAGUUGCCAUCAUUCAGUUGGGCACUCUAGCGAGACUGCCGGUAAUAAACCGGAGGAAGGUGGGGAUGACGUCAAAUCAUCAUGCCCCUUAUGACCUGGGCUACACACGUGCUACAAUGGUUGGUACAACGAGUUGCGAGUCGGUGACGGCGAGCUAAUCUCUUAAAGCCAAUCUCAGUUCGGAUUGUAGGCUGCAACUCGCCUACAUGAAGUCGGAAUCGCUAGUAAUCGCGGAUCAGCACGCCGCGGUGAAUACGUCCCUGCUCCUU
RNAcentral lists this ribosomal RNA (445 nucleotides) under uncultured Streptococcus sp. RNAcentral describes it as "bacterial SSU rRNA". It matches the Rfam family "Bacterial small subunit ribosomal RNA", at positions 936 to 1382 of the family's 1533-position model. The record is from RNAcentral. Lineage: Bacteria; Bacillati; Bacillota; Bacilli; Lactobacillales; Streptococcaceae.